This is a small nuclear RNA of Delphinapterus leucas (beluga whale), 104 nucleotides long. The record is from Ensembl. Lineage: Eukaryota; Metazoa; Chordata; Mammalia; Artiodactyla; Monodontidae.
GUGCUGCUUCGGCAAUACAUAUACUAAAACUGGAAUGAUAGAGAAGAUUAGCGUGCCCCCUGGGCAAGGAUGGGACGCAAAUUCAUGAAGUGUUCCAUAUUUUU